AGAUUCUAAAACUGCAUCCUUCCCAGAGUGGGUAGUCAACUCCUCAUGAUGAAUUAGUUAUAUGUUCCUAUAUGUACCUACUUCCAGCUUUUAUUUUCCUUUCCUGUUCCUUACGAAGUCAAAGAAGGGGUCGUCACCCAACAAAUAGCCCAUAAGAUUGUUUUACUCGAUGACAAAACUUUGAAGGACUGCUAGAAAAGAAUAAAUGUUUAUUUAUUUAUU
Molecule: long non-coding RNA, 222 nt
Filed under: Rattus norvegicus (Norway rat)
Lineage: Eukaryota; Metazoa; Chordata; Mammalia; Rodentia; Muridae
Description: long non-coding RNA NONRATT010638
Source: RNAcentral